RNAcentral lists this ribosomal RNA (348 nucleotides) under uncultured bacterium. Its description in RNAcentral is "bacterial SSU rRNA". It matches the Rfam family "Bacterial small subunit ribosomal RNA", at positions 28 to 385 of the family's 1533-position model. The record is from RNAcentral.
GACGAACGCUGGCGGCGUGCUUAACACAUGCAAGUCGAACGAUGAAGCCUUCGGGUGGAUUAGUGGCGAACGGGUGAGUAACACGUGGGCAAUCUGCCCUGUACUUUGGGAUAAGCCUUGGAAACGGGGUCUAAUACCGGAUAUCACUUCUGACCGCAUGGUUGGUUGUUGAAAGUUCUGGCGGUACAGGAUGAGCCCGCGGCCUAUCAGCUUGUUGGUGGGUAAUGGCCUACCAAGGCGACGACGGGUAGCCGGCCUGAGAGGGUGACCGGCCACACUGGGACUGAGACACGGCCAGACUCCUACGGGAGGCAGCAGUGGGAAUAUUGCACAAUGGGCGAAAGCCUG